CCUUUACUGACGCUAAAGCUCGAAGGUGCGGGUAUCGAACAGGAUUAGAUACCCUGGUAGUCCGCACGGUAAACGAUGGAUGCCCGCUGUUUGCGAUAUAGUGUGAGCGGCCAAGAGAAAUCGUUAAGCAUCCCACCUGGGGAGUACGCCGGCAACGGUGAAACUCAAAGGAAUUGACGGGGGCCCGCACAAGCGGAGGAACAUGUGGUUUAAUUCGAUGAUACGCGAGGAACCUUACCCGGGCUUGAACUGCAGGGGAACGAUCCAGAGAUGGUGAGGUCAGCAAUGACCCCUGUGGAGGUGCUGCAUGGUUGUCGUCAGCUCGUGCCGUGAGGUGUCGGCUUAAGUGCCAUAACGAGCGCAACCCUUUUCUCCAGUUGCCAGCAAGUUGAGUUGGGGACUCUGGAGACACUGCCAUCGCAAGAUGAGAGGAAGGAUGGGAUGACGUCAAAUCAGCACGGCCCUUACGUCCGGGGCGACACACGUGUUACAAUGGGAGGGACAGAAAGCUGCGAAGCCGCGAGGCUGAGCCAAUCUCCAAACCUUCUCCCAGUUCGGAUCGGAGUCUGCAACCCGACUCCGUGAAGCUGGAUUCGCUAG
RNAcentral lists this ribosomal RNA (600 nucleotides) under uncultured bacterium. Its description in RNAcentral is "bacterial SSU rRNA". It matches the Rfam family "Bacterial small subunit ribosomal RNA", at positions 734 to 1338 of the family's 1533-position model. The record is from RNAcentral.